AUGCGAGCAAUCGUGAUAAGGGAACUCCGAGUGCCCGUAAAAUCGGGCUGUCCGCCAGUUUAAAUAACUGUGAACAAAGGGCCGGGCAAGACCGGUGCCAGCCGCCGCGGUAAUACCGGCGGCUCGAGUGGUGGCCACUAUUACUGGGCUUAAAGCGUUCGUAGCUGGUCUG
RNAcentral lists this ribosomal RNA (172 nucleotides) under uncultured Methanobacterium sp. Its description in RNAcentral is "partial 16S ribosomal RNA". It matches the Rfam family "Archaeal small subunit ribosomal RNA", at positions 355 to 532 of the family's 1478-position model. Lineage: Archaea; Methanobacteriati; Methanobacteriota; Methanobacteria; Methanobacteriales; Methanobacteriaceae. The record is from RNAcentral.